This 219-nucleotide non-coding RNA is filed under the name Bacillus sp. (in: firmicutes). Its description in RNAcentral is "Bacillus sp. T-box sequence". It matches the Rfam family "T-box leader". From Rfam's summary of the family: Uncharged tRNA acts as the effector for transcription antitermination of genes in the T-box leader family. Lineage: Bacteria; Bacillati; Bacillota; Bacilli; Caryophanales; Bacillaceae. The record is from RNAcentral.
GAAAAAGCAGUGACAGGAAGUAGUAGCUUGCUUUCAUUCCUUGCAGAGAGCCGGUGGCAGGUGAAAACCGGCGGGUGAAGCUAGUGAAUCCAUCCUUGAGCAGGAUGCGGAAAGCCAUAUGGCAAGUAAGCAUUCUCGGUGCAGGCCGUUAUCCUGUCAAGAGGGAAGCAUCACAUGCUUUCAAUCAGGGUGGCAACGCGGGUAACUCUCGUCCCUUUC